AGCGAAGAGGUCACACCCGUUCCCAUUCCGAACACGGCAGUUAAGCUCUUCAGCGCCGAUGGUAGUUGGGGGUUUCCCCCUGUGAGAGUAGGACGUCGCCAAGC
This 104-nucleotide ribosomal RNA is filed under the name Peribacillus simplex. Lineage: Bacteria; Bacillati; Bacillota; Bacilli; Caryophanales; Bacillaceae. RNAcentral also lists the same sequence under 20 other names. The record is from RNAcentral.